GGAGAGGUGCGAGAGUGGUUGAAUCGGGCAGACUCGAAAUCUGUUGUACGGCUUGUCCGUACCGAGGGUUCGAAUCCCUCCCUCUCCG
This 88-nucleotide transfer RNA is filed under the name Spirochaetaceae bacterium. Its description in RNAcentral is "tRNA-Ser". It matches the Rfam family "tRNA". From Rfam's summary of the family: Transfer RNA (tRNA) molecules are approximately 80 nucleotides in length. Their secondary structure includes four short double-helical elements and three loops (D, anti-codon, and T loops). Further hydrogen bonds mediate the characteristic L-shaped molecular structure. tRNAs have two regions of fundamental functional importance: the anti-codon, which is responsible for specific mRNA codon recognition, and the 3' end, to which the tRNAs corresponding amino acid is attached (by aminoacyl-tRNA synthetases). tRNAs cope with the degeneracy of the genetic code in two manners: having more than one tRNA (with a specific anti-codon) for a particular amino acid; and 'wobble' base-pairing, i.e. permitting non-standard base-pairing at the 3rd anti-codon position. The record is from RNAcentral. Lineage: Bacteria; Pseudomonadati; Spirochaetota; Spirochaetia; Spirochaetales; Spirochaetaceae. RNAcentral also lists the same sequence under 1 other name.